CAGUCGUACCAGCGGGAAAUCAACCUUUCGAGUGGGAUCUUGGAGCUUUAAAGAGUUUCAAAGCCUUUUGGGUUUUAAGAUUUCUACUCUUUUGGUGUACUUUCUCGUAGGUAGGUCAACAUCGAUUUUGAACAUCAUAAAAAGAUCGGAGGAAUGUAGCUUCGAUCUCGUAUUGAAGUGUUAUAGCCUUCGGUAGAUGUGAUGAUUGGGAUUGAGGAUUGCAACGGAUACCCUUCGGGGCUACCUGUCUGAUCUCUGAAAGUUGCUCUGGUGCUGAAAGCUUGCUUAUGGUAUCAAAGUUGACGUUCAACAGGUUAGAACGGGAUAAA
This 329-nucleotide ribosomal RNA is filed under the name uncultured Glomeromycotina. Its description in RNAcentral is "eukaryotic LSU rRNA". The record is from RNAcentral. Lineage: Eukaryota; Fungi; Glomeromycota.